This 125-nucleotide ribosomal RNA is filed under the name uncultured eukaryote. RNAcentral's name for it is "partial 18S ribosomal RNA". It matches the Rfam family "Eukaryotic small subunit ribosomal RNA", at positions 1299 to 1458 of the family's 1831-position model. The record is from RNAcentral.
UGGUGGAGUGAUUUGUCUGGUUAAUUCCGUACGAACGAGACCUCAGCCUGAACACAUCGUGUUCGAAUCGAAGCUUCUUAGAGGGACUUUCUGUAUCUAGCAGACGUAAGUUUGAGGCAAUAACA